Molecule: ribosomal RNA, 279 nt
Filed under: uncultured bacterium
Lineage: Bacteria
Description: partial 16S ribosomal RNA
Rfam family: Bacterial small subunit ribosomal RNA
Source: RNAcentral
UGCCAGCAGCCGCGGUAAUACGAAGGGGGCUAGCGUUGUUCGGAAUUACUGGGCGUAAAGCGCGUGUAGGCGGCUAGGUAAGUCGAAUGUGAAAUCCCGGGGCUCAACCCCGGAACUGCAUCCGAAACUACUUAGCUAGAGUCUCGGAGAGGAAGGCAGAAUUCCCGGUGUAGGGGUGAAAUCCGUAGAUAUCGGGAGGAAUACCAGUGGCGAAGGCGGCCUUCUGGACGAUGACUGACGCUCAGACGCGAAAGCGUGGGUAGCAAACAGGAUUAGAUA